UACAGAGGGUGCGAGCGUUAAUCGGAAUUACUGGGCGUAAAGCGCGCGUAGGCGGCUUUGCAAGUCGGAUGUGAAAUCCCCGGGCUUAACCUGGGAACUGCAUUCGAGACUGCAUAGCUAGAGUAUGGGAGAGGGAGGCGGAAUUUCCGGUGUAGCGGUGAAAUGCGUAGAUAUCGGAAGGAACAUCAGUGGCGAAAGCGGCCUCCUGGACCAAUACUGACGCUCAUGUGCGAAAGCGUGGGGAGCAAACAGG
Molecule: ribosomal RNA, 253 nt
Filed under: uncultured bacterium
Lineage: Bacteria
Description: partial 16S ribosomal RNA
Rfam family: Bacterial small subunit ribosomal RNA
Source: RNAcentral